This 497-nucleotide ribosomal RNA is filed under the name uncultured bacterium. RNAcentral describes it as "partial 16S ribosomal RNA". It matches the Rfam family "Bacterial small subunit ribosomal RNA", at positions 28 to 507 of the family's 1533-position model. The record is from RNAcentral.
GAUGAACGCUGGCGGCGUGCCUAAUACAUGCAAGUCGAGCGAACAGACGAGGAGCUUGCUCCUCUGACGUUAGCGGCGGACGGGUGAGUAACACGUGGAUAACCUACCUAUAAGACUGGGAUAACUUCGGGAAACCGGAGCUAAUACCGGAUAAUAUAUUGAACCGCAUGGUUCAAUAGUGAAAGACGGUUUUGCUGUCACUUAUAGAUGGAUCCGCGCCGCAUUAGCUAGUUGGUAAGGUAACGGCUUACCAAGGCGACGAUGCGUAGCCGACCUGAGAGGGUGAUCGGCCACACUGGAACUGAGACACGGUCCAGACUCCUACGGGAGGCAGCAGUAGGGAAUCUUCCGCAAUGGGCGAAAGCCUGACGGAGCAACGCCGCGUGAGUGAUGAAGGUCUUCGGAUCGUAAAACCCUGUUAUUAGGGAAGAACAAAUGUGUAAGUAACUAUGCACGUCUUGACGGUACCUAAUCAGAAAGCCACGGCUAACUACGUG